GUGUCAGCAGCCGCGGUAAGACGAACCGUGCAAACGUUGUUCGGAAUCACUGGGCUUAAAGGGCGCGUAGGCGGACAUUAAAGUCAGGGGUGAAAUCCCUCAGCUCAACUGGGGAACUGCCUUUGAUACUGAAUGUCUCGAGUAAGGUAGGGGCAUGCGGAACUGAUGGUGGAGCGGUGAAAUGUGUUGAUAUCAUCAGGAACUCCGGUGGCGAAAGCGGCAUGCUGGACCUUCACUGACGCUGAGGCGCGAAAGCUAGGGGAGCGAACGGGAUUAGAAACCCUCGUAGUCC
RNAcentral lists this ribosomal RNA (292 nucleotides) under uncultured bacterium. RNAcentral describes it as "partial 16S ribosomal RNA". It matches the Rfam family "Bacterial small subunit ribosomal RNA", at positions 505 to 796 of the family's 1533-position model. The record is from RNAcentral.